AUGGAAGGGAACCAAAACAAGACAAAUUGUAAUAUCGUGCAAUAUAUAAUUGAUAACAACCUACCGGAGCUCAAAAAUGAACUAAAUAGGGGAAACAUUAAUGACCUUUACUCAUACAGCGAGUGGAAUGACUACGUAACCCCACUGAUAGUUGCUAUUGUCAAUCAUAGGGAGGAUAUUUUGUCUUUCUUACUGCAAGAGGGUGCAGACCCAAACAAGGUGUCGCAAACGGGCUUAACACCUUUACAUUAUGCCUCUAAGUCCAAAGCACCCCUUGCUUUUGUGACAAAACUGCUGAGACAUAAUGCGAAUCCAAACGCAUGUGAUCUCAUAGAGGAAAAGUCUUUGACACCUCUGCAAAUAGCAGUCAUUGAAAAAAGGCGAGAUAUUUUUAAGGAGCUAAUAUCUGCCGGUGCACAAGUAACCGAGUUCCCUGCAUCUUUUCCUGAACACAAUGUUCACAAUAAAGAAUUAUCUCAGAUGACGGAUAAAUCCAAAUCUGGACAAUGUCUUAGAUUCUUAAAAAAAAAAUUUCUGUGUUCCUGUGCUGUAAAUCGCAAACAAAAGGAUCCAGCACUAGCUCCUCAAACUUCCAAUGGUUUACCUGUCCAACCUGGUACAUCAAAAACAAUGCAGGAAUGUCCAAUCAGCAAGAGAUGGAGAGAGAAGUUAGACAAGAUUCCUCACUUCAUUGAAACAGAGAAAAUCAAGAUAAAAACGAUCGGAAGCCUGACGUAUGUGAAUGAUGACGAAUUCCACAUAUCUACGGGUAGUGAUGGCACCGAGGUCUUUCUGGGAUACAGAGAUGAUGGCACUGAAGUUGCUAUCAAGAAAAUGUUGAAACGCAACUAUGAAGAGCUGAAGAAUGAGGAAAAGAUUCUAAGGCUUCCAGAGCUUGAUCAUCAACUCAUUGUGCGAUAUGUUGACACGGCGGAAGAUGAUGAAUUUGGAUAUAUUGCUCUUCAACUUUGUGAAUACACCCUGGAAGAAUAUAUUGACAUUAAAAAAGGUGACCGUCGGCUGAUGGAGAAACUUGUCAAACAACUCCUCGAGAGUUUAAAGGUGCUUCAUUGUCCUUGUGAUUCGAGUCCUCCAAUCCUCCACCGGGAUCUCAAACCACAGAAUGUUUUGAUCGGUGAGACAAAUAAAAAAUAUUCAUAA
Molecule: long non-coding RNA, 1161 nt
Organism: Gasterosteus aculeatus (three-spined stickleback)
Lineage: Eukaryota; Metazoa; Chordata; Actinopteri; Perciformes; Gasterosteidae
Source: Ensembl